Molecule: long non-coding RNA, 581 nt
Organism: Chiroxiphia lanceolata (lance-tailed manakin)
Lineage: Eukaryota; Metazoa; Chordata; Aves; Passeriformes; Pipridae
Exons: 3
Source: RefSeq, a predicted model, not a curated record
CAGGUUGAAUGAACACAGUGAGCUGUUCCUCACACCUGGAAUUGUCAAGAGGACCCAGGUCCAAACAGAGUCUUCAUCUGAACUUCCAUGAGUGACAUUCUCUCAAUUGUGACCAACCAAUGCUGCCUGAAACAGUGUCAACCACAACAUGGCGUUGAUUUGUCUGUCCUUAGACCUCCUGAAAAGACAUAUAUUCCUUAGGCUGUUAGCAAGAGGAAGCCCUACAGAGACCAUCUAAUGAUGCUUAACCAUACUGACUACCUGCACUAAAUAUAAUACAGGAAGAUGAUGGUAAGGACAGCAGAACAGAGAUGGAAUAAGAUGCCAGUUCCAUGCAGGUCACAUUUAGCUCCAGAUUGUUUUCACAUCAGAUUUAGCUGGCAUCAUAUCCCAGGAUUCUGCAGUUGGAGUGAACCAGUUCACAGACUGAUGGAAAAAAACAAUGCUUAGUGAAGAAAGAAACACUUCAAAGAAUUUUCUUCCUUUAAUAUCCUUUAACAGGUCACUGAUGGUUUCCACCACGAUUCUUCACUGUUUGUGGUCACUUACAGAGCUGCAGGUGCAAAACAGACCUUUUAAUC